GGAUGCGAUCGUACCAGCACUAAAGCACCGGAUCCCAUCAGAACUCUGAAGUUAAGCAUGCUUGGGAGAGAGUAGUACUAGGAUGGGUGACCUCCUGGGAAGUCCUGGUGUUGCAUUCC
Molecule: ribosomal RNA, 119 nt
Filed under: Triticum turgidum subsp. durum (durum wheat)
Lineage: Eukaryota; Viridiplantae; Streptophyta; Magnoliopsida; Poales; Poaceae
Also listed under: 1 other name
Source: RNAcentral